ACCAGAGUACUAUGAAUUCUUCAAAAUUUAAAACUCAAAGAACUUGGCGGUGUUUUAGACCACUUAGGGGAACCUGUCUCAUAAUCGAUGAUCCACGUUUUACCUGACCCUUUUUUGUUUUCAGCCUGUAUACCGUUGUCGUCAGGUAACUUUUUAGAAUUUAAAAGUUAGCUAUAUAAAGUAUAAUUUAGUACGUCAAAUCAAGGUGCAGCUUAUAAUAGGGGGAGGAUGGGUUACAAUUAUUUAUUUAUAAUUUACGGAAUAUUGUGUGAAUUAGCGAUAUAAAGGAGGACUUGAAAGUAAAUUGGAUUAUAUAAGCAAUUUGAAUAAGGCUCUGAAACGUGU
This 345-nucleotide ribosomal RNA is filed under the name Pellifronia jungi. Its description in RNAcentral is "partial 12S ribosomal RNA". The record is from RNAcentral. Lineage: Eukaryota; Metazoa; Mollusca; Gastropoda; Neogastropoda; Terebridae.